CGACUUAGCUCAGUUGGUAGAGCAAUUGACUUGUAAUCAGUAGGUCGAGGGUUCGAAUCCCUCAGUCG
Molecule: transfer RNA, 68 nt
Filed under: bovine gut metagenome
Rfam family: tRNA
About the family: Transfer RNA (tRNA) molecules are approximately 80 nucleotides in length.
Source: RNAcentral